CUCUCCUAUAUAAAGAUAGAAAGCGCGGCGAGAGCUCGCGCCGCCGCCGCUAUCGCAUCAGAAGCCUCUCUUCCCGAACCCCGUCCGAGAGGGCGAGAGCGAGAGCAGUCGCUCCGGCGAGAGAGGAAGGCAGCCGUCCCGCCCCGAUGAGGGCCAAGUGGAAGAAGAAGCGGAUGAGGCGGCUCAAGAGGAAGCGCCGAAAGAUGAGGCAGAGAUCCAAGUAGGCAGAUCCAUGGAGUGUCCGCCUGGAGUCCUUGUGUUCGGUUGCUGUUUACCGAAUAAUUUUAGUUUUCUUUAGUAACAGAGUCUGUAAUGUAUCUGAAGGUCUUUACAAUCAUCGUCUGUCCGUGAUCUGUAAUGAAGCCUACCGUCAUCUGAAUAUUGUUCCGAAACAUUUUUUUCUCCAUAUAGAACCAUUAUUGAAUCAUCCGAAUACGGUUCCGAAA
Molecule: long non-coding RNA, 446 nt
Organism: Sorghum bicolor (sorghum)
Lineage: Eukaryota; Viridiplantae; Streptophyta; Magnoliopsida; Poales; Poaceae
Exons: 2
Source: RefSeq, a predicted model, not a curated record